Diorhabda carinulata is the source of this 3958-nucleotide long non-coding RNA. RefSeq lists it as uncharacterized. The transcript has 5 exons. NCBI's taxonomy places the organism in Eukaryota, Metazoa, Arthropoda, Insecta, Coleoptera, Chrysomelidae. The record is from RefSeq and is a predicted model, not a curated record.
CGUAUACCAAAUCUAGAACAUGAGAUUUAAACAAUUUGUGAUACCAUGUCCAGUUUUCGAAAGAUAUUAUCACAACUCAUGUUCAUGACAGUUAACAUAAAAUAAUUAUUAUCUACGGCGUGUUUUGAGGUUAGUGUCCGUAUGAACAACAUAAAUUUUAAGUGGACGUUGGAGUAUAAUAAUAUAUUGGAUAGAUUGAUAAUAAAAGCACAUUCAAUGCUUCUUGAAAUAUCUGUUUAUGUCCGUCACCGCAACUUUAGGGAUUACUGUUUUCAUCGGAAGAAUGUAUUAUAAAAAUUGUCUGGCGCUUCAACGGUUAUGCGAAGACUAUCUGACAUUUUCUAUAUUUCAUUUAAUCACCAGUUUGUGUCUUAUAUCUGGAAUUAUUUGGGAAGAACCUUUAGUUGUUCUGUUAUAUGAAGUGAUUCAUCUGUCAACAGUUGUAGCUUUCCUCACCCAUACAUUUAUCUUUAUACCUUUUGGAAAGAUUUUCUGCGCAAUAUGUGUUUCAUCAUGUUUUGUACUUUACUGUCUGUACAAUGUUAAUGGGUAUUACAACGAACUGAAGGUAAAGAAAAAGUAUUUAAAAGAAAGUAUUUAUUUCAAUGAAGAUAUCUACUUCCGUAAUCAAAAUGUACAAUGAAGUUUUAAACAUACAUACAAUAAAUAUAAAAUAUAUUACUAAUUCUAUUUUUUUUUCUUCACUUCUUCAACAUCACAAUUUUAGCAGGGAAAAUCGCUUCACAUAAAAUGUUUUAUUUGCUUUCUAUUCUGUUUGGAAUAAAAGACCUUAAAGUUGUUUGGUAAAUGUCAAAUCCACAAAAAAUGUAUUUUUCCUUCAUCGUUGAUUUCUUAUUUCAUUAUAUAAAUGCAAAAUGAUUUUUUCAAUAUUGAACCAGAGUCUCCUGAUUAUAUAUUGGAAAAUAGAAGAAAGAAAUGUUUCUUGUAUGUUACAAUAGAGGACUGAAAUAUCUUUAUUUCACUACCACACCCUAUAUAUUUUUCAAUGUUUCAAAUGUUUUGUUACCAUAUAUUGGGUAUCUUACAUCAUAUUAUUAUGUAUCUUUAUAAAUAAAACAAAUGUUUCGGAUUAUUUCAAUAUUAUGUUUUUCAAAAACACUUUUAACAAUUUUAAUUUAAUGAGUAUCUACAUUUUUUGUGACUUCUUUAUUCAGCUAGCUACAACACUAAAUGUGGAGCAAAAACUCACGUUUAUUAUAAAAAAUUUAAUCAGUUCACAACUUGACAUUUACUUAUUAGCUUACCUCAAGAGUUUUUGUUUUUGCGGUGAUUUAUAUGAGAAGGUAUGAAAGACACUUUGGGUAUAAUGUAAGUCUUUAUUUAAAAGUAAUUAGUAAUUACAUAAGCAUCUUACUGUUUAACGAGUCGAAGGAUGCUCUUAUUCCAAAACUCCUGUGAUUGUGACAAUAACCACUCUUGUACUGUGUCACUCAGUUUGUCGCACAUGUUAUUUUUUAAUACAGAUGGAAGUUACAAGGCGAUAUUCGAAGUUUAAGGUUCGGUACUUAACCUUAUCCCACUUAAACUUGGUCAUUACCCUUUGUGUGACCGUGAAGACGUGUGUACGCGCGGAAUCACUCCUUCCGUUAGCAGCCUGAGCCGUUUGAUCUUGUUGUCGUAGUCUAAGGAAUGUCUCACUAUUAAUGGCUUUUCUGUGGCAUAGUCGAUGCACCUGGGACGUUAUAAAAGACGAUGAUCAUCACUUUACCUGCUACGGCGUCAGACAUGCGCAUAACCAGGCCAGAUUUCUACAUUUGCGUCCCUAUAUGUCUCACUACUACAUUCAAAGCCUCAUAUUCAAAUUAUAACCGAUUUGAUUAUUUUUUCUUUUUCAUUUGAACAUUCUGAUAUAUACCAGAGUCACUCUGUAUAUUAUAACUAGAAGCUGGCAAUACAGGCAUACUGGCAAAGAUUAAUAGGUUAUUGAUGAAACAUAUAUACCAUUUUAUAACAUUUCUACUUGCCAGUAGAGCCUCAUGUGGAGAUUAACCAACAUCAACAAUGGGGAAAAAGGUCUGUCAAGAAAGUUUGCACGCAAUUCUCUUUCAUACUAGAGGAUUAGUGAAAUCAAUUGAGCUUAAAGAUCAAUGGACAGUUACAGCGAACUGGUAUACCACAAAAUGUUCACCUGCAGUUCUUGAGUCGGUCAAUAAUCAAGUUUUAAUGUUGCAUCACGAUAAUUCAUCGAUACACAUCAGCAGACCGUUGAAUUUUUACGUCAAAAUAAUGUAAUAGUAAUUGAAUUUGAACCUUAUUUGCCCGAUUUGGCCAUGUGUUAUUUCUGCUUAUUCUUCAACCUAAAGAAAUAUUUACGUCGUCGACGUUUCACGAUAGAUGAAGCAUGAUGAGAUAGAUGAAGCAAUUCAUCAAUUUUUUUAAGAGUUCUUCAAGAGAUGACUGGCUUUAAGCUUUUAAGUUUCAGUAGCUUCGUUUAUAAAGUGCAUUGAUGUAUGUGGUGAUUAAUUUCAACAUAAAUAAAAUCAUUUCCCUAAAACGACUUGUAGCUUUCUUGUGUCUCAAAAUAUGUAGCGUCACUCGUAUAUUGGUAUUUAAUCUUUAGGAUUAUUAUAGAUUUAACGUAUUAUCCACUAAAAAGCAAUAAGUGUAACAAGAUACAUAUAAAAAACCAAUGGAAUUUGGAUGACUAUAAUAUGAGCAGGUAAUUAACAUUAAAUUUAAAACAUAGUUCUUAAAUUCUACUCGGUAAGAAAAUUUAUACAAAAACAUCAACUAAUCUAGGCACAUUCAUUAUUGCUCUUCACUUGAAAACGUAUAAUGCCUGAUUUCUUUAAAACGAUUGUUAAUAAGUUUAGUCUCUCAUUUUAUUUUAUUGUGAUUAUUAUGUAUUAACAAUUUCGAAAGAUUUGUUAUUGUAAUAUAUAAUAACGCAAUUUCUAAUCAAAAUAACAGAAUGUAAAACAACUUCAAAGUGUAAUGUUAACUUAAAUUUGUUUACAUGGAGUACCAGAAUCUGUAACAAGUCAAUACUUAAACUAUUUAGCUGUUCUAUUUCAAUAUUCAUUAGUAUUAUUUUCGAAAUUUUUGUGUAGAAGACUUAACAUGAACCUUUUAAUUUGAAUAAUAACACUAAAAUUUGCAAUUUUGGAAUGGAAACGUUGUUAUAUCAGAAAAUCCAAGAGCAGCGUUGAUAUUAGAUACUAUAGAAAAAAUUCAACAGCUUUUUAGUAAUUAUCAAAAAAUGAACUUUUGUAAAAAUUUUCGGUUUGGUUGGAAAAUUGAAAAAAAAUUAUUUUUGUGAAAUUUUGCACAAAGAGGUUUAUUGAUAAGAGUAUUUUGGGAAAGAUAUAGGUUGUGAAAAAAAUUAUGAAUGGAAAACUGGAUUUUCGGAAAACCAUUAAUUUGAAAAGUAAUAUUGCUCUUAAACCUUGAAAGGAAAAGACAUGAUACCUUUCCACAUACUUUCACUAUAAACGCAUAUUAUCAAUUUUUUGGCAAAAAUCUGCAACAUGUUGAAAAAUAUUAAACAUACUCGAAUAAAAACUUCCGAGAUAUUGACUAUUUCUUAUGUUUGAUUCGCACUAACUAUAACACUAUAAAAAUUCAUAGUAUCCUACAGUUGUGGAAUGGACACGUAGUAAUAUAAAAAAAUCCAAAGAAGAUUGUUGGUACUAUCAUAGACAAAAUACAACAGCUUUCUCAUUAUUAUACAAAUCUAGUUAAAAAACAUUGAAUUUGAAAUUUUGAAACAAAAUUUCUCUGAUAUUGAUAAAACCUUGUUACAUACAGUAAAAUAGUAAUAUAGGAUGGGCCAUGAAUUUUAUAACUGAAGCCGCGGAACCGACUUCUUGGAAACGUAGUCACAAUGGAUCACUUCACGCGAAAACAACGCGCGUUCUGUGUGAAGCAAUUUUACAAAAAGAAUGAUUCUUAUGUCAUUACUCGCCAUUUAGUUCGUUCGUAUGACCAAUUACACAAU